Rhododendron vialii is the source of this 359-nucleotide long non-coding RNA. RefSeq lists it as uncharacterized. The transcript is spliced from 2 exons. Lineage: Eukaryota; Viridiplantae; Streptophyta; Magnoliopsida; Ericales; Ericaceae. The record is from RefSeq and is a predicted model, not a curated record.
AAAGAAAAGAAGAAGAGAAGAGAAGGGGAUUUGCUUGUGGAUGAUCAUUCUUUCUUAGAAUUGAAGUCCUAACAUGGUAGCAGGUUCCUUAGAGUGGUUCCACUACCGGUCGACGUGUUGAGGUGUACUCGAGUAUUAGCUUUGGGAGGUGUUGGUGGUCGAGCGUGCUGUAGGUAGUUAUUGAAGGAAUUGAUUUUUAUAAGUUGUAAUUUAGUCAUUGGUGAAUAUGUUGAAGUAUAGAACUUAAUAAGUCUUGUAGUAGUGGUUAUGGUUUUAGCUAUGCAGGCUUGUGAUUGGUUGAUCGGUAUGUUGACUCAUUUCUGUUUUAUUGUGAGAAGUCUUCCGCUAAGUUGUAUUCU